Long non-coding RNA from Vanessa atalanta (red admiral), 742 nucleotides. RefSeq lists it as uncharacterized. The transcript has 3 exons. NCBI's taxonomy places the organism in Eukaryota, Metazoa, Arthropoda, Insecta, Lepidoptera, Nymphalidae. The record is from RefSeq and is a predicted model, not a curated record.
CGAAGCCGGAGCUGUCUCGCCUGCAAUUUGCAGUCUGGAGGGUCGCGAGUUCGAUGCCCAGACGGGGGAUGAGUCUGGGUUCCGAAGCGAUGCUUCCGUUGCUGAAGCUUCCGUCUAUAGAGAUUGAUCGAGUUUUGAAAACAAGCAUACUGAAAUUUAUGAUGGCGGAAAUAAUGCAAUAUCUAAACGGAUGUAAAGAUGAUACGACGAUUCGGAAUUUAAAAUUAAUGAAAACAAAUGAGAUGUUCUAGAUUUUUCUAGAUUAGGUUAUGAAGAUAUUUGGCGGGAAACAAUAUGAACCAAGACUUAAACUAUAUUAACGCAGAAUCUUACUAUAAUCCAGCUGCUAAGCUGGUCUACCGGUUAUUUGGUCACAGAAGAAAAUAAUCAAGGAACUUUAUACCGGUCACAGAAGAAAAUAAUCAAGGAACUUUAUGACCGGGUUGGGUGAGUUCCGGCAUUUUGUAUUUUCAGGCGAAAUUACACUUUAGAUCUGUAAUUACAUUGCUAUCAAAGGUCUUAAAGAUACGAGAUUAAAGAGAGGAUGGUGAGUGAGCUGCUGGACAUGGGAGUUACCAUCAGGUGAUAUUUAACAACUAUCUAUAUUAAAAAAUGGGACAAUUAUAAUUAAGCCCAUAUCACACCGACAUUAUCUAGUCGGUAACACAGGGGAGUUCAGUACCAAAAGGCUUUAAAAGGUAAGUUUGCAAAAAAUGGUUAUUAAAAUAUAACGGAAGAUGGA